This 30-nucleotide non-coding RNA is filed under the name Cricetulus griseus (Chinese hamster). The record is from RNAcentral. Lineage: Eukaryota; Metazoa; Chordata; Mammalia; Rodentia; Cricetidae.
GUAAGACACUGGCCUCUGCAAAGUUAGAGA